This 465-nucleotide ribosomal RNA is filed under the name Vreelandella stevensii. RNAcentral's name for it is "partial 16S ribosomal RNA". It matches the Rfam family "Bacterial small subunit ribosomal RNA", at positions 338 to 795 of the family's 1533-position model. Lineage: Bacteria; Pseudomonadati; Pseudomonadota; Gammaproteobacteria; Oceanospirillales; Halomonadaceae. The record is from RNAcentral.
CCUACGGGGAGCAGCAGUGGGGAAUAUUGGACAAUGGGCGAAAGCCUGAUCCAGCCAUGCCGCGUGUGUGAAGAAGGCCUUCGGGUUGUAAAGCACUUUCAGUGGGGAAGAAAGCCUUGGGGCUAAUACCCUCGAGGAAGGACAUCACCCACAGAAGAAGCACCGGCUAACUCCGUGCCAGCAGCCGCGGUAAUACGGAGGGUGUGAGCGUUAAUCGGAAUUACUGGGCGUAAAGCGCGCGUAGGCGGUCUGAUAAGCCGGUUGUGAAAGCCCCGGGCUCAACCUGGGAACGGCAUCCGGAACUGUCAGGCUAGAGUGCAGGAGAGGAAGGUAGAAUUCCCGGUGUAGCGGUGAAAUGCGUAGAGAUCGGGAGGAAUACCAGUGGCGAAGGCGGCCUUCUGGACUGACACUGACGCUGAGGUGCGAAAGCGUGGGUAGCAAACAGGAUUAGAUACCCGUGUAGUC